UUACUCAGUCCCAAUGAUGACUGUUGGUAUAUAUCUUCAUCGAAACUCUUUUCCCCUAGAUAAGAAAUAACUCCAGUGACUUGAAAAUGUCCUCUAAACAUUGAAAUGUAUAGACGCCUUUUAGCGUACCUCCUAGCUCACAAUUUCCCCUUUAGCUUUACUUGCCCUCAUUCUAUAGGGUGGACUUCAGGAUAUUAAAAAAUGACUUCACUUCCCUGGCCAUAGUUAAUGAACCAGGGGUGGGUGUCUUAAUCUAAUAGACCCUUCCUGGAAAAUUUUAGGAUUGAGACAAAAUAAAAAAUUAGCAUUAGUAAAAUCAAAGGAAAAAUGAUGAAUAAUAGCACAAUUCAUAUCAGAGACAAAGGACUGUUUCCUCUAAUAUACAAACACUUGGAAAUCAAUUUUAAGAAGACCAAUAACCCAACAGAAGAAAAACUGGGCAAAGCAUAAAGAAGGCUCCCCAAAAUGUAUAUAUUAUAUAUACAUGUA
This 489-nucleotide long non-coding RNA is filed under the name Bos taurus (domestic cattle). RNAcentral's name for it is "long non-coding RNA NONBTAT022275". The record is from RNAcentral. Lineage: Eukaryota; Metazoa; Chordata; Mammalia; Artiodactyla; Bovidae.